GAUGAACGCUGGCGGCGUGCCUAAUACAUGCAAGUCGAGCGAACAGAUGAGGAGCUUGCUCCUCUGACGUUAGCGGCGGACGGGUGAGUAAAACGUGGAUAACCUACCUAUAAGACUGGGAUAACUUCGGGAAACCGGAGCUAAUACCAGAUAAUAUAUUGAACCGCAUGGUUCAAUAGUGAAAGACGGUUUUGCUGUCACUUAUAGAUGGAUCCGCGCCGCAUUAGCUAGUUGGUAAGGUAAGGGCUUACCAAGGCAACGAUGCGUAGCCGACCUGAGAGGGUGAUCGGCCACACUGGAACUGAGACACGGUCCAGACUCCUACGGGAGGCAGCAGUAGGGAAUCUUCCGCAAUGGGCGAAAGCCUGACGGAGCAACGCCGCGUGAGUGAUGAAGGUCUUCGGAUCGUAAAACUCUGUUAUUAGGGAAGAACAAAUGUGUAAGUAACUAUGCACGUCUUGACGGUACCUAAUCAGAAAGCCACGGCUAACUACGUG
This 497-nucleotide ribosomal RNA is filed under the name uncultured bacterium. Its description in RNAcentral is "partial 16S ribosomal RNA". It matches the Rfam family "Bacterial small subunit ribosomal RNA", at positions 28 to 507 of the family's 1533-position model. The record is from RNAcentral.